AGUCAAAGUUCAUUCCAAAUUUUCAGAGGUGCCCAUAAUGGUGGAGUUGUCAUUGGAAGGGAAGCUCCUGAUUCUAGUACAUUUGUCACUGGCAAUGAACUAUUUAGGAUGAGAAAUAGAAGACUUGCAGAAGUUGGUGUUUCAGAAGUUGGUGUUUCAGAAUUAUCAACUCAACAUAGUAUUUCAGAUGUUAGCACUAAAAAAAAUCAUUGAAUUGUUACUAGGAUCAAUGACUGAAUGUAAUUUUUU
Dioscorea cayenensis subsp. rotundata (Guinea yam) is the source of this 249-nucleotide long non-coding RNA. RefSeq lists it as uncharacterized. The transcript has 3 exons. NCBI's taxonomy places the organism in Eukaryota, Viridiplantae, Streptophyta, Magnoliopsida, Dioscoreales, Dioscoreaceae. The record is from RefSeq and is a predicted model, not a curated record.